GACGAACGCUGGCGGCGUGCUUAACACAUGCAAGUCGAACGGUGAAGCGCCUUCCUUUUUGGAGGGUGUGGAUGAGUGGCGAACGGGUGAGUAACACGUGAGUAACCUGCCCCCUUCUUCUGGAUAACCGCAUGAAAGUGUGGCUAAUACGGGAUAUUCUGGGCCUGUCGCAUGAUGGGUCAGGGAAAGAAUUUGUUUCGGUGGGGGAUGGGCCCGCGGCCUAUCAGCUUGUUGGUGGGGUGAUGGCCUACCAAGGCGGUGACGGGUAGCCGGCCUGGGGGGUUGGACGGUCACACUGGGACUGAGACACGGCCCAGACUCCUACGGGAGGCAGCAGUGGUGAUUAGUGCACGAUGGGCGCAAGCCUGAUGCAGCGACGCCGCGUGAGGGAUGGAGUCCUUCGGGUUGUGAACCUCUUUCGCCAGUGAAGCAGGCCUGCCUCGUUUGUGGGUGGGUUGACGGUAGCUGGAUAAGAAGCGCCGGCUAACUACGUG
RNAcentral lists this ribosomal RNA (494 nucleotides) under uncultured bacterium. RNAcentral's name for it is "partial 16S ribosomal RNA". It matches the Rfam family "Bacterial small subunit ribosomal RNA", at positions 28 to 507 of the family's 1533-position model. The record is from RNAcentral.